AAGGCAAGCGGAUCUCUUAAAGCUGUUCUCAGUUCGGACUGCAGUCUGCAACUCGACUGCACGAAGCUGGAAUCGCUAGUAAUCGCGGAUCAGCACGCCGCGGUGAAUACGUUCCCGGGCCCUGUACACACCGCCCGUCACACCAUGGAAGUCUGCAAUGCCCGAAGCCGGUGGCCUAACCACUUAUGUGGAAGGAGCCGUCUAAGGCAGGGCAGAUGACUGGGGUGAAGUCGUAACAAGGUACC
RNAcentral lists this ribosomal RNA (245 nucleotides) under uncultured bacterium. RNAcentral describes it as "partial 16S ribosomal RNA". It matches the Rfam family "Bacterial small subunit ribosomal RNA", at positions 1260 to 1500 of the family's 1533-position model. The record is from RNAcentral.